GGGGACAUAGCCAAGCGGUAAGGCAGGAGACUGCAAAUCUCCCAUCCCCCGGUUCGAAUCCGGGUGUCCCCU
This 72-nucleotide transfer RNA is filed under the name Leptolyngbya valderiana BDU 20041. Its description in RNAcentral is "tRNA-Cys". It matches the Rfam family "tRNA". From Rfam's summary of the family: Transfer RNA (tRNA) molecules are approximately 80 nucleotides in length. Their secondary structure includes four short double-helical elements and three loops (D, anti-codon, and T loops). Further hydrogen bonds mediate the characteristic L-shaped molecular structure. tRNAs have two regions of fundamental functional importance: the anti-codon, which is responsible for specific mRNA codon recognition, and the 3' end, to which the tRNAs corresponding amino acid is attached (by aminoacyl-tRNA synthetases). tRNAs cope with the degeneracy of the genetic code in two manners: having more than one tRNA (with a specific anti-codon) for a particular amino acid; and 'wobble' base-pairing, i.e. permitting non-standard base-pairing at the 3rd anti-codon position. The record is from RNAcentral. Lineage: Bacteria; Bacillati; Cyanobacteriota; Cyanophyceae; Leptolyngbyales; Leptolyngbyaceae. RNAcentral also lists the same sequence under 5 other names.